This 313-nucleotide ribosomal RNA is filed under the name uncultured eukaryote. RNAcentral describes it as "partial 18S ribosomal RNA". It matches the Rfam family "Eukaryotic small subunit ribosomal RNA", at positions 1470 to 1796 of the family's 1831-position model. The record is from RNAcentral.
CCCUUAGAUGUUCUGGGCCGCACGCGCGCUACACUGAUGCAUUCAACAAGCCUAGCCUUGACCGAGAGGUCCGGGUAAUCUUUGAAACUGCAUCGUGAUGGGGCUAGAUUAUUGCAAUUAUUAAUCUUCAACGAGGAAUGCCUAGUAAGCGUGAUUCAUCAAAUCGCGUUGAUUACGUCCCUGCCCUUUGUACACACCGCCCGUCGCACCUACCGAUUGAAUGGUCCGGUGAAGCCUCCGGAUUGGCGCGCACCUCGGUGCCGCCGAGAAGUUGGCUAAACCUUACCAUUUAGAGGAAGGUGAAGUCGUAACA